AUUGAACGCUGGCGGCAGGCCUAACACAUGCAAGUCGAGCGGAUGAAGGGAGCUUGCUCCUGGAUUCAGCGGCGGACGGGUGAGUAAUGCCUAGGAAUCUGCCUGGUAGUGGGGAAUAACGUCCGGAAACGGGCGCUAAUACCGCAUACGUCCUGAGGGAGAAAGUGGGGGAUCUUCGGACCUCACGCUAUCAGAUGAGCCUAGGUCGGAUUAGCUAGUUGGUGGGGUAAGGGCCUACCAAGGCGACGAUCCGUAACUGGUCUGAGAGGAUGAUCAGUCACACUGGAACUGAGACACGGUCCAGACUCCUACGGGAGGCAGCAGUGGGGAAUAUUGGACAAUGGGCGAAAGCCUGAUCCAGCCAUGCCGCGUGUGUGAAGAAGGUCUUCGGAUUGUAAAGCACUUUAAGUUGGGAGGAAGGGCAGUAAGUUAAUACCUUGCUGUUUUGACGUUACCAACAGAAUAAGCACCGGCUAACUUCGUG
RNAcentral lists this ribosomal RNA (484 nucleotides) under uncultured bacterium. RNAcentral's name for it is "partial 16S ribosomal RNA". It matches the Rfam family "Bacterial small subunit ribosomal RNA", at positions 30 to 507 of the family's 1533-position model. The record is from RNAcentral.